Molecule: transfer RNA, 68 nt
Filed under: pig gut metagenome
Rfam family: tRNA
About the family: Transfer RNA (tRNA) molecules are approximately 80 nucleotides in length.
Source: RNAcentral
ACCGUAGUCUAAUGGAUAGAACAUCGGACUCCGACUCCGACAAUGCGGGUUCGAUUCCCGCCGGGUGC